AGUGAACGCUGGCGGUAGGCCUAACACAUGCAAGUCGAACGGCAGCACAGUAAGAGCUUGCUCUUACGGGUGGCGAGUGGCGGACGGGUGAGGAAUACAUCGGAAUCUACUUUUUCGUGGGGGAUAACGUAGGGAAACUUACGCUAAUACCGCAUACGACCUACGGGUGAAAGCAGGGGAUCUUCGGACCUUGCGCGAUUGAAUGAGCCGAUGUCGGAUUAGCUAGUUGGCGGGGUAAAGGCCCACCAAGGCGACGAUCCGUAGCUGGUCUGAGAGGAUGAUCAGCCACACUGGAACUGAGACACGGUCCAGACUCCUACGGGAGGCAGCAGUGGGGAAUAUUGGAAAAUGGGCGCAAGCCUGAUCCAGCCAUACCGCGUGGGUGAAGAAGGCCUUCGGGUUGUAAAGCCCUUUUGUUGGGAAAGAAAAGCAGCAGGUUAAUACCCCGCUGUUCUGACGGUACCAAAAGAAUAAGCACCGGCUAACUUCGUG
Molecule: ribosomal RNA, 492 nt
Filed under: uncultured bacterium
Lineage: Bacteria
Description: partial 16S ribosomal RNA
Rfam family: Bacterial small subunit ribosomal RNA
Source: RNAcentral